This 89-nucleotide transfer RNA is filed under the name Acidobacteriota bacterium. RNAcentral's name for it is "tRNA-Leu". It matches the Rfam family "tRNA". From Rfam's summary of the family: Transfer RNA (tRNA) molecules are approximately 80 nucleotides in length. Their secondary structure includes four short double-helical elements and three loops (D, anti-codon, and T loops). Further hydrogen bonds mediate the characteristic L-shaped molecular structure. tRNAs have two regions of fundamental functional importance: the anti-codon, which is responsible for specific mRNA codon recognition, and the 3' end, to which the tRNAs corresponding amino acid is attached (by aminoacyl-tRNA synthetases). tRNAs cope with the degeneracy of the genetic code in two manners: having more than one tRNA (with a specific anti-codon) for a particular amino acid; and 'wobble' base-pairing, i.e. permitting non-standard base-pairing at the 3rd anti-codon position. The record is from RNAcentral. Lineage: Bacteria; Pseudomonadati; Acidobacteriota. RNAcentral also lists the same sequence under 1 other name.
GCCGGAGUGGCGGAAUUGGCAGACGCACCAGACUCAAAAUCUGGCGGGUGGCGACACCCGUGGGGGUUCGACUCCCCCCUCCGGCACCA